AAGUUUGUAAUAGUUUGAUAAUAUUUAAUAAAUUCAUAUCAAUUUAAUAAUUUGAUUGACUAGCCAAAUCUUUAAUUUAUAAUUUUCAGUUUGUAAUAACAAUAUUAUUUGAUUGACUGCCCACAACCCCACACUAGAUAGAGAAGAGUUUACAUUUAAAAAAAAAAAAAAAGCAAAACCAUAGUAAAUAAUUGUAUUCAUCUUUGGAGUAAUCAAGAUCGAGUAGUAGUAGUAAAAAAAAGAAAGAAAAGAUCAAAGCAUAGUAGUAGUAGUAGUUGUUGGUUAUAUUUAUUUGUUUUUAACAAAACCUAAAAAUAUCUGUACGGACAGUUUGAACGUGUCCCAAUCAGAUUUCUUGUGGCUGC
This 365-nucleotide long non-coding RNA is filed under the name Capsella rubella. RNAcentral's name for it is "long non-coding RNA (CRUB_LNC002929)". Lineage: Eukaryota; Viridiplantae; Streptophyta; Magnoliopsida; Brassicales; Brassicaceae. The record is from RNAcentral.